GAUGAAGAACGCAGCGAAAUGCGAUAAGUAAUGUGAAUUGCAGAAUUCAGUGAAUCAUCGAAUCUUUGAACGCACCUUGCACCCUUUGGUAUUCCGAAGGGUAUGCUCGUUUGAGUGUCAUUGUACUCUCACACUCUCCGAUCCUAUGGAUUCGGGGAGCGGUGGACUUGGGUGUUGCUGCCUUUCCUUGUGGCUCACCUCAAAUGUGUCAGUGCACCUCUUGGUUGGACAUAGUACGGCGUGAUAAGUGUCUUCGCCGGCACCUCGCAAGAGGGUGGCCGAUCGGGAGCUCUGUGCUUUCAAACCGUCUUCGGACAAUUUCUGACAACUUGACCUCAAAUCGAGUAGGACUACCCGCUGAACUUAAGCAUAUCAAUAAGCGGAGGA
RNAcentral lists this unclassified non-coding RNA (387 nucleotides) under soil metagenome. Its description in RNAcentral is "partial contains 5.8S ribosomal RNA, internal transcribed spacer 2, and large subunit ribosomal RNA". The stretch from base 1 to 120 matches the Rfam family "5.8S ribosomal RNA", at positions 35 to 154 of the family's 154-position model. The record is from RNAcentral.